GAUGAACGCUGGCGGCGUGCCUAAUACAUGCAAGUCGAGCGAACAGAUGAGGAGCUUGCUCCUCUGACGUUAGCGGGGGACGGGUGAGUAACACGUGGAUAACCUACCUAUAAGACUGGGAUAACUUCGGGAAACCGGAGCUAAUACCGGAUAAUAUAUUGAACCGCAUGGUUCAAUAGUGAAAGACGGUUUUGCUGUCACUUAUAGAUGGAUCCGCGCCGCAUUAGCUAGUUGGUAAGGUAACGGCUUACCAAGGCAACGAUGCGUAGCCGACCUGAUAGGGGGAUCGCCCACCCUGGAGCUUAGCCACCGUCCAGACUCCUACGGUAGGCAGCAGUAUGGAAUCGUCCGCAAUGGGCGAAAGCCUGACGGAGCAACGCCGCGUGAGUGAUGAAGGUCUUCCGAUCGUAAAACUCUGUUAUUAGUGAAGAACAAAUGUGUAAGUAACUAUGCACGUCUUGACGGUACCUAAUCAGAAAGCCACGGCUAACUACGUG
RNAcentral lists this ribosomal RNA (497 nucleotides) under uncultured bacterium. RNAcentral describes it as "partial 16S ribosomal RNA". It matches the Rfam family "Bacterial small subunit ribosomal RNA", at positions 28 to 507 of the family's 1533-position model. The record is from RNAcentral.